This 767-nucleotide long non-coding RNA is filed under the name Rattus norvegicus (Norway rat). RNAcentral's name for it is "long non-coding RNA NONRATT029976". Lineage: Eukaryota; Metazoa; Chordata; Mammalia; Rodentia; Muridae. The record is from RNAcentral.
AAAAUGUAAGCCUCCAAAAGUUGAUAUAUGUGCCAACUUAAAAAACAAAUAUGAAAGAGAUUUUCCUCCUCUCAGCUGUGUAAAGACAUCAACAACUAAAGUUUCAAGUGGCAACAAGGGCAUGACAGAACCAAAGGACAUCAAAAAGCGAAAAAGUGUGACAUUGUCGGCAAGUUUGAUUAAUCUCCCCUUAACUCAUGUUCUCCACAAGUUCUCAAAGAAAGAAAAGGACAACCUUUUUAGGCAUCUUUGUACAAAAACAAUGGAGAUACAAACAAGGGGCCUUCCCAGAAUAGCUGCGCAAUCCUAUGCCUUAGCCAUUGACCAGGAUAAACCAAAACCCUUGUUUAAGUGUAUACAUUCUGCCACAAAAGUGCCAAAACGAACAAACAGAGUUGUAGUACUGUUUGAUGAAAAGUCUUUUUGUGAAAUUGACAGUGAUUUGCAACAUAAAUAUCUCCGCUCUCUCCCUAACCCUUCUGUCACUGUGGUCUCUACACCAAAGGCACUUCCCAAACACACUUCCAAGGUAAGUAAGUGUUCAGGCUCACCACGUAACAAAGUCGGUGGCAGUGCGGAAAGCAGUACUCUUUCCUUUGACAAAGAAAUUUUACAACAUGUUUCUUUCCCAAAGAUAAAUCCACAAGAAAGCUCAUUAUGCUUCAGAAACAUCCAGGAGCCAACUAAUUCAUUUUACCCUUGUCUACAAGGCACUGAACAAAAUGAUAUAAUUCUUUCAGAUUUAAAUUUACAGAUGACAUCAGAAA